GAUAUUGCACAAUGGGGGAAACCCUGAUGCAGCGACGCCGCGUGAGCGAAGAAGGCCUUCGGGUCAUAAAGCUCUGUUUCGAGGGAAGAUAAUGACAGUACCCCCGGAGGAAGCCCCGGCUAACUACGUGCCAGCAGCCGCGGUAAUACGUAGGGGGCGAGCGUUGUCCGGAAUUACUGGACGUAAAGCGCGCGCAGGUGGCUUGUUAAGUCAGGUGUCAAAAUGCGGGGCUCAACCCCGUACCGCACUUGAAACUGGCAGGCUUGAGUGCAGGAGAGGGAAGUGGAAUUCCUAGUGUAGCGGUGAAAUGCGUAGAUAUUAGGAGGAACACCAGUGGCGAAGGCGACUUCCUGGACUGUAACUGACACUGAGGCGCGAAAGCUAGGGGAGCAAAC
RNAcentral lists this ribosomal RNA (395 nucleotides) under uncultured bacterium. RNAcentral describes it as "partial 16S ribosomal RNA". It matches the Rfam family "Bacterial small subunit ribosomal RNA", at positions 359 to 773 of the family's 1533-position model. The record is from RNAcentral.